Molecule: unclassified non-coding RNA, 1566 nt
Filed under: Hevea brasiliensis (rubber tree)
Lineage: Eukaryota; Viridiplantae; Streptophyta; Magnoliopsida; Malpighiales; Euphorbiaceae
Source: RNAcentral
CUCAACCACAUCAGAUAAUAAUGAAUAAUCAAUCAGACUGGAUAUCCGGCAUUCUGGAGAAAACAUUUUCUGUUCUCCUCUUUGUGCUUUACUCUCUCUGGUAAGUUCUCUUUCCCUCUCAAGUUUUUUGUGUUUAGAUCUCAAUUGAAAUUGGUAGAAUCGCUCGAUUUGAACUUAGAAAUUGAAGGAUCUGCUGAAAUUUUAUCUGUAAAUUUGAAACUACUGAAAGUGCUGUGAUUAGUGCUUGACAAUGGCUGAGGUUGCUCCAAAUGCUGAGCUAUUGGAAUGGCCAAAGAAGGAUAAGCGCCGAUUCCUUCAUGUCGUGUAUCGUGUUGGCGAUCUGGAUCGCACCAUAAAGUAUGAUUCUUUUGGAAAGAAAAGCUCUUUCGCAACUGUUAUAUCUGUACAUUUUUUAAAGGGAAAAAGUCUUAUAAUGUUUAAUUUGGUAGAUUUUAUACUGAAUGCUUUGGGAUGAAGCUGUUGAGGAAAAGAGAUGUUCCAGAGGAAAAGUACUCUAAUGCAUUUCUUGGGUUUGGCUCUGAAGAGACUAAUUUUGUUGUGGAGCUGACUUACAAUUAUGGAGUGACUUCAUAUGAUAUUGGAGAUGGUUUUGGGCAUUUUGCAAUUGCGACUCAGGAUGUAUACAAGUUGGUUGAAGACAUCCGUGCCAAGGGUGGCAUUAUCUCUAGGGAGCCUGGUCCAGUCAAAGGUGGGACUACUGUUAUUGCCUUUGCAAAGGAUCCAGAUGGUUAUAUUUUUGAACUCAUUCAAAGAGGACCAACUCCUGAGCCCCUGUGCCAAGUAAUGCUUCGUGUUGGUGAUCUGGAUCGUUCUAUCCAGUUCUAUGAAAAGGCCUUAGGCAUGAAGUUUUUAAGGAAGGUUGAUAAUCCCCAGUACAAGUAUACCUUGGCGAUGAUGGGCUAUGCAGAUGAAUAUGAGACAACUGUUCUUGAGUUGACUUACAAUUAUGGUGUGACUGAAUAUUCCAAGGGAAAUGCAUAUGCGCAGGUUGCAAUUGGUACUGAUGAUGUCUACAAAAGUGCUGAGGUUGUCAACUUGGUUACCCAAGAGCUUGGUGGGAAAAUAACUCGACAACCUGGACCACUUCCUGGAAUUAACACUAAAAUUACUUCUUUUCUAGACCCAGAUGGCUGGAAAACGGUCCUGGUUGACAAUGAAGACUUUCUCAAGGAACUGCAGAAGGGAGAUUCUGCUUAAUUUAAGCGGGCUGUAGGUGCACUACUUGUAUGAAAUAAGUUGGUGUUAUUUGUAUCUAAAGCAGCUAGUAAUCCUGGCUUUGGGUUUUGUGAUGGAACCAAGUGAACCUGCGGAGAACAUGUUUAUAUAAAUUGGUGGUAGCAUAUUAAGGCUUUGUUUGGCUAUUCAUUUUUACUUGUCCAUGUUGCUUUUUUCUUAGUAAGGUAGUUUUAUUUGAAAUCAAUGUUUUCAUUUACCGAGCUUCUUUAGAUGGAGAGAAGAAAAAGAAAGGGGCUAUGUAUUGUUAAAUAGUACAUAAAGCAAUAAUAAAGUACAUUGGGUUCUUAUAGACCAAACUAGUAAAUUUGC